GCUGGUGAUUUAGCCGGAUGUGUCCCACCUCUUCCCAUUCCGAACAGAGAAGUGAAAGCAUCUGGCCCCAAUGAUACUUGCGUUUCGGCGCUGGGAAAGUAGGGUUCGCCAGCC
RNAcentral lists this ribosomal RNA (114 nucleotides) under Patescibacteria group bacterium. The record is from RNAcentral.